RNAcentral lists this long non-coding RNA (504 nucleotides) under Salvia miltiorrhiza (redroot sage). RNAcentral's name for it is "long non-coding RNA (SMIL_LNC014428)". The record is from RNAcentral. Lineage: Eukaryota; Viridiplantae; Streptophyta; Magnoliopsida; Lamiales; Lamiaceae.
CAAGUUAAUUGAAUGGAAUUCAGAAUCUCAAAUGUCCACGUAGCUUAGUUUCCUCCUACUUGACACCCCCAAUCCUUCAGCUUCUUCAACCACAAAUUAGCUGAUUUCAUUCUCCUCCCAAACAAUUCAGUCCGCAUUCCCUAGCAAACUUCUAUCUCUCAAAUCCCAAUUUCAAGAACUCUCACAAUCGCUCCAGAAUACCUGCAAGUAUUUAUAAUCUACCAAAUCAACAGUUCAUCUACAACCCAUUCUCAGCCAUAAUUUCGAGAACCCAAAAUCUAUUUAUUUUCCUUCACAAAAGGUAAACUGACUCACAAAUUCAUGCAAUAAUCAGUAAUCGACUUCAUAAAGAACCAUCUUAUUCACAGAGGAUCUUGAAACAGAAAGCAAGAGAAGUAUGGCAUAUAAAUUGACUUUGCAUAUAUAAUGUAUGUCUGCAUAUACACGUGCAUUUUUAUGCAAAUUAGCUAAUCAAAGCUUUUCAAUUUAAUAAGACAAGAAACU